GUAAUCCUGAAUGCUUUCAUGCAUCUCAUGGCUUUCAUUAUCAUUUCUAUUUUGAUAAGUCCCAAAAUGAUAUCUUCUGUUUAUAUUCAACUUUAGAAUGCCAGACCUGUCAUCUCUAGUUGCCUAUCUCAGAGGCACCUUAAAUUCAACCUGUUCAAAAAUCAUCUUGUGCCUUAACCCAGAUUCACUGCUUCUCCAAUGUUCCCUGUUCCAGUUUAUAGCAACACCAUCCUCAGUUUCUCAUUCCAAAAGCCCAGGAGUAAUGUGCUGAGGAUAACAGUGAGCAGGAGUUGGCUCUGUGAAGGACCUGAAAUGUGAGGAGGACAGACUGAGAGAAGAUCACCUGCAAACUCUCUGAAGCAGACGGUGUAGUCUGUGUAGCACUAGAAUGCAGAUGUCCACUUCACAUGAUGGUGUGAGUUUGCACAGGGCCAUUUCCUUGGUGACCUGUGUGUCCUAAAUCCAAGGGGACUCUCCCAGAACAUUCUGUUGUGAUAAAGAUUCUUGGGAUUUUCUGAUUCCUGAGAUGGGAAGAACUUAGUCAUGUAAUGGCAAGUUGAGGGCUCA
This 567-nucleotide long non-coding RNA is filed under the name Homo sapiens (human). Its description in RNAcentral is "HSALNT0325640". The record is from RNAcentral. Lineage: Eukaryota; Metazoa; Chordata; Mammalia; Primates; Hominidae.